This 483-nucleotide ribosomal RNA is filed under the name uncultured bacterium. RNAcentral's name for it is "partial 16S ribosomal RNA". It matches the Rfam family "Bacterial small subunit ribosomal RNA", at positions 30 to 506 of the family's 1533-position model. The record is from RNAcentral.
AUUGAACGCUGGCGGCAGGCCUAACACAUGCAAGUCGAGCGGAUGAAGGGAGCUUGCUCCUGGAUUCAGCGGCGGACGGGUGAGUAAUGCCUAGGAAUCUGCCUGGUAGUGGGGGAUAACGUCCGGAAACGGGCGCUAAUACCGCAUACGUCCUGAGGGAGAAAGUGGGGGAUCUUCGGACCUCACGCUAUCAGAUGAGCCUAGGUCGGAUUAGCUAGUUGGUGGGGUAAAGGCCUACCAAGGCGACGAUCCGUAACUGGUCUGAGAGGAUGAUCAGUCACACUGGAACUGAGACACGGUCCAGACUCCUACGGGAGGCAGCAGUGGGGAAUAUUGGACUAUGGGCGAAAGCCUGAUCCAGCCAUGCCGCGUGUGUGAAGAAGGUCUUCGGAUUGUAAAGCACUUUAAGUUGGGAGGAAGGGCAGUAAGUUAAUACCUUGCUGUUUUGACGUUACCAACAGAAUAAGCACCGGCGAACUUCGU